Molecule: long non-coding RNA, 607 nt
Filed under: Phoenix dactylifera (date palm)
Lineage: Eukaryota; Viridiplantae; Streptophyta; Magnoliopsida; Arecales; Arecaceae
Description: long non-coding RNA (PDAC_LNC019428)
Source: RNAcentral
UGAUAUAACACUAUUGAUAGCCUUCCUUCAUGCCUCGAUAUUAUUAUGUCAAGAUCCAUGCUAGUUUGUUGUGCUAACACAAAACUUGCAAUGGGGACUGAUGUUAUACUAUCUUGGUGCAUUAAGAUGCUUAUGGCAUAUUUUAAUAUAUUGCCUUGUUGUGUAACCACAAGGGCAAUAUUAUUCGAAUAUGACUAUAUGGAAAUGAAGGGUUUGACUUAACUAAAAUAUUAUUGUUUGUUGUGCUAACACAAGGCAAUAAGUAUUUUAAGAGGACAAGAUAAAGUUGAGAAUUGCAUGAGAUGCAAUUGGAAAGAGUUUCCUACCUUUGAACUCAUAAGAGUUUGUUGUGUAAACACAAGGCUUUUUAUGAUGAAUUAGGAUCUCAACCCUACUAAGAAAAAUUAUAUUUUCACGUUUAUCAUAGGAGAGGGCUAUGAUAUUCGAUAAAAAUAGUAGGAGACAAAUUAGAUUAAAGUCCUUAUCUAGUUGCAAACAUGUCAUCAUGAUUGGUCUGCUUAUAUUAGUUUUGUUCUUGCAUAUGUAGAAUUAUUAAAUGGCUUCUUCACUUUCACUAAGAGGCAUCUUAAAUGCCAAUAAGUUGACC